Molecule: ribosomal RNA, 465 nt
Filed under: uncultured Staphylococcaceae bacterium
Lineage: Bacteria; Bacillati; Bacillota; Bacilli; Caryophanales; Staphylococcaceae
Description: bacterial SSU rRNA
Rfam family: Bacterial small subunit ribosomal RNA
Source: RNAcentral
CCUACGGGAGGCUGCAGUAGGGAAUCUUCCGCAAUGGGCGAAAGCCUGACGGAGCAACGCCGCGUGAGUGAAGAAGGAUUUCGGUUCGUAAAGCUCUGUUGUUAGGGAAGAAUGAUUGUGUAGUAACUAUACACAGUAGAGACGGUACCUAACCAGAAAGCCACGGCUAACUACGUGCCAGCAGCCGCGGUAAUACGUAGGUGGCAAGCGUUGUCCGGAAUUAUUGGGCGUAAAGCGCGCGCAGGUGGUUUAAUAAGUCUGAUGUGAAAGCCCACGGCUCAACCGUGGAGGGUCAUUGGAAACUGUUAAACUUGAGUGCAGGAGAGAAAAGUGGAAUUCCUAGUGUAGCGGUGAAAUGCGUAGAGAUUAGGAGGAACACCAGUGGCGAAGGCGGCUUUUUGGCCUGUAACUGACACUGAGGCGCGAAAGCGUGGGGAGCAAACAGGAUUAGAUACCCUGGUAGUC